This 366-nucleotide long non-coding RNA is filed under the name Selaginella moellendorffii. Its description in RNAcentral is "long non-coding RNA (SMOE_LNC001403)". The record is from RNAcentral. Lineage: Eukaryota; Viridiplantae; Streptophyta; Lycopodiopsida; Selaginellales; Selaginellaceae.
CCAGUGGUCCUCGGAGAAAAACCGGAUAAGUCCACGGAUUAACUUUGAGAAACUUUCUCAAUCCCCUGGAAGAUUGAUGAGAAAAGGGUGAGUUUUAACUAAGUUCUCUUAACUCGUUGGUGUUCGUGUGCUUCUUGGUGUGGCUCAGGUAGAGCGCUGCGAUGAAUGCCAUGAAGAGAACCGGAGCAGUGUAGAUGAGCGUGUAAACUCCUGGAAAAAGGGUAACAUAAAAUUCUCGGUGUUGAUCUAAGAAGGGAAAGAUCUUACCAGUUUGUCCGUAGGAUUUGAGAGAAACACGCUCGGCAAUCGGCCCCGAGAAAUGGGUGAAGAACGCUGAUGUUGGAGACAUGAUCCACACGAGAAUCC